RNAcentral lists this ribosomal RNA (425 nucleotides) under uncultured bacterium. RNAcentral describes it as "partial 16S ribosomal RNA". It matches the Rfam family "Bacterial small subunit ribosomal RNA", at positions 354 to 796 of the family's 1533-position model. The record is from RNAcentral.
GUGGGGAAUAUUGCACAAUGGGCGAAAGCCUGAUGCAGCGACGCCGCGUGAGCGAUGAAGUAUUUCGGUACGUAAAGCUCUAUCAGCAGGGAAGAUAAUGACGGUACCUGACUAAGAAGCACCGGCUAAAUACGUGCCAGCAGCCGCGGUAAUACGUAUGGUGCAAGCGUUAUCCGGAUUUACUGGGUGUAAAGGGAGCGUAGGCGGCGUGGUAAGUCAGAAGUGAAAGCCCGGGGCUCAACCCCGGGACUGCUUUUGAAACUAUCAUGCUAGAGUGUCGGAGAGGUAAGUGGAAUUCCUAGUGUAGCGGUGAAAUGCGUAGAUAUUAGGAGGAACACCAGUGGCGAAGGCGGCCAACUGGGCUUUUACUGACGCUGAGGCUCGAAAGCGUGGGGAGCAAACAGGAUUAGAUACCCUGGUAGUCC